UUUUUGGAGAGUUUGAUCCUGGCUCAGGACGAACGCUGGCGGCGUGCCUAAUACAUGCAAGUCGAGCGGGUCUCU
RNAcentral lists this ribosomal RNA (75 nucleotides) under Metabacillus mangrovi. RNAcentral describes it as "partial 16S ribosomal RNA". It matches the Rfam family "Bacterial small subunit ribosomal RNA", at positions 1 to 75 of the family's 1533-position model. The record is from RNAcentral. Lineage: Bacteria; Bacillati; Bacillota; Bacilli; Caryophanales; Bacillaceae.